UACGGAGGGGCUAGCGUUGUUCGGAAUUACUGGGCGUAAAGCGCACGUAGGCGGCUUUGUAAGUUAGAGGUGAAAGCCCAGGGCUUAACCCUGGAAUUGCCUUUAAGACUGCAUCGCUAGAAUCGUGGAGAGGUGAGUGGAAUUCCGAGUGUAGAGGUGAAAUUCGUAGAUAUUCGGAAGAACACCAGUGGCGAAGGCGACUCACUGGACACGUAUUGACGCUGAGGUGCGAAAGCGUGGGGAGCAAACAGGG
Molecule: ribosomal RNA, 253 nt
Filed under: uncultured bacterium
Lineage: Bacteria
Description: partial 16S ribosomal RNA
Rfam family: Bacterial small subunit ribosomal RNA
Source: RNAcentral